UACGGAGGGUGCAAACGUUGCUCGGAAUCAUUGGGCGUAAAGCGCACGUAGGCGGCCCGGUAAGUCGGAUGUGAAAGCCCUUGGCUCAACUGAGGAAGUGCAUUCGAAACUGCCAGGCUUGAAUAUGGAAGAGGGUCGCGGAAUUCCCGGUGUAGAGGUGAAAUUCGUAGAUAUAGGAAGGAACACCAGUGGCGAAGGCGACCACCUGGACUGAUACUGACACUGAGGUGCGAAAGCGUGGGGAGCAAACAGG
Molecule: ribosomal RNA, 253 nt
Filed under: uncultured bacterium
Lineage: Bacteria
Description: partial 16S ribosomal RNA
Rfam family: Bacterial small subunit ribosomal RNA
Source: RNAcentral